UGCUCCUUGAUUCAGCGGCGGACGGGUGAGUAAUGCCUAGGAAUCUGCCUGGUAGUGGGGGACAACGUUUCGAAAGGAACGCUAAUACCGCAUACGUCCUACGGGAGAAAGCAGGGGACCUUCGGGCCUUGCGCUAUCAGAUGAGCCUAGGUCGGAUUAGCUAGUUGGUGGGGUAAUGGCUCACCAAGGCGACGAUCCGUAACUGGUCUGAGAGGAUGAUCAGUCACACUGGAACUGAGACACGGUCCAGACUCCUACGGGAGGCAGCAGUGGGGAAUAUUGGACAAUGGGCGAAAGCCUGAUCCAGCCAUGCCGCGUGUGUGAAGAAGGUCUUCGGAUUGUAAAGCACUUUAAGUUGGGAGGAAGGGCAGUAAGUUAAUACCUUGCUGUUUUGACGUUACCGACAGAAUAAGCACCGGUAACUCUGUGCCAGCAGCCGCGGUAAUACAGAGGGUGCAAGCGCAAAUCGGAAUUACUGGGCGUAAAGCGCGCGUAGGUGGUUUGUUAAGUUGGAUGUGAAAGCCCCGGGCUCAACCUGGGAACUGCAUCCAAAACUGGCAAGCUAGAGUACGGUAGAGGGUGGUGGAAUUUCCUGUGUAG
This 600-nucleotide ribosomal RNA is filed under the name Pseudomonas monteilii. RNAcentral describes it as "bacterial SSU rRNA". It matches the Rfam family "Bacterial small subunit ribosomal RNA", at positions 81 to 678 of the family's 1533-position model. Lineage: Bacteria; Pseudomonadati; Pseudomonadota; Gammaproteobacteria; Pseudomonadales; Pseudomonadaceae. The record is from RNAcentral.